RNAcentral lists this ribosomal RNA (636 nucleotides) under uncultured bacterium. RNAcentral's name for it is "bacterial SSU rRNA". It matches the Rfam family "Bacterial small subunit ribosomal RNA", at positions 202 to 842 of the family's 1533-position model. The record is from RNAcentral.
UAAAGAAUUUCGGUUAUCGAUGGGGAUGCGUUCCAUUAGUUAGUUGGCGGGGUAACGGCCCACCAAGACGACGAUGGAUAGGGGUUCUGAGAGGAAGGUCCCCCACAUUGGAACUGAGACACGGUCCAAACUCCUACGGGAGGCAGCAGUGAGGAAUAUUGGUCAAUGGACGAGAGUCUGAACCAGCCAAGUAGCGUGAAGGAUGACUGCCCUAUGGGUUGUAAACUUCUUUUAUAUGGGAAUAAAACAGGGUAUGCAUACCCUCUUGUACGUACCAUAUGAAUAAGGAUCGGCUAACUCCGUGCCAGCAGCCGCGGUAAUACGGAGGAUCCGAGCGUUAUCCGGAUUUAUUGGGUUUAAAGGGAGCGUAGGUGGAUUGUUAAGUCAGUUGUGAAAGUUUGCGGCUCAACCGUAAAAUUGCAGUUGAAACUGGCAGUCUUGAGUACAGUAGAGGUGGGCGGAAUUCGUGGUGUAGCGGUGAAAUGCUUAGAUAUCACGAAGAACUCCGAUUGCGAAGGCAGCUCACUAGACUGCAACUGACACUGAUGCUCGAAAGUGUGGGUAUCAAACAGGAUUAGAUACCCUGGUAGUCCACACAGUAAACGAUGAAUACUCGCUGUUUGCGAUAUACAGUAA